GGAAUGAGCGGGGACCACCCCGUAAGCCUAAAUACUCCUUAGUGACCGAUAGCGCAUAGUACUGUGAAGGAAAGGUGAAAAGGACCCCGGGAGGGGAGUGAAAGAGAACCUGAAACCCUGUGUUUACAAGCUGUGGAAGUGCCUUAUGUGCACAACCGCGUACUUUUUGUAGAACGGUCCGGCGAGUUGCGGAUGCCGGCAAGGUUAAGCACUUAAGGUGUGGAGCCGAAGGGAAACCAAGUCUGAAUAGGGCGAAAGUCAGUCGGAGUAGACCCGAAACCGGGUGAUCUACCCAUGUCCAGGUUGAAGCUGCCGUAAGAGGUAGUGGAGGACCGAACACACAUCCGUUGAA
This 352-nucleotide ribosomal RNA is filed under the name Lactococcus lactis. Its description in RNAcentral is "bacterial LSU rRNA". It matches the Rfam family "Bacterial large subunit ribosomal RNA", at positions 439 to 793 of the family's 2925-position model. The record is from RNAcentral. Lineage: Bacteria; Bacillati; Bacillota; Bacilli; Lactobacillales; Streptococcaceae.